This 69-nucleotide transfer RNA is filed under the name Chydorus sphaericus. RNAcentral describes it as "tRNA-Ser". It matches the Rfam family "tRNA". Rfam says of the family: Transfer RNA (tRNA) molecules are approximately 80 nucleotides in length. Their secondary structure includes four short double-helical elements and three loops (D, anti-codon, and T loops). The record is from RNAcentral. Lineage: Eukaryota; Metazoa; Arthropoda; Branchiopoda; Diplostraca; Chydoridae.
AAUUGUUUCAUCUAAGAAAGAUAUUCGUCUUGAACACGAAACAUAGAGGUUAAAAUCCCCUAACAAUUU